RNAcentral lists this ribosomal RNA (476 nucleotides) under Didymella glomerata. RNAcentral describes it as "eukaryotic LSU rRNA". The stretch from base 165 to 318 matches the Rfam family "5.8S ribosomal RNA". The record is from RNAcentral. Lineage: Eukaryota; Fungi; Ascomycota; Dothideomycetes; Pleosporales; Didymellaceae.
AGGUGAACCUGCGGAAGGAUCAUUACCUAGAGUUGUAGGCUUUGCCUGCUAUCUCUUACCCAUGUCUUUUGAGUACCUUCGUUUCCUCGGCGGGUCCGCCCGCCGAUUGGACAAUUUAAACCAUUUGCAGUUGCAAUCAGCGUCUGAAAAAACUUAAUAGUUACAACUUUCAACAACGGAUCUCUUGGUUCUGGCAUCGAUGAAGAACGCAGCGAAAUGCGAUAAGUAGUGUGAAUUGCAGAAUUCAGUGAAUCAUCGAAUCUUUGAACGCACAUUGCGCCCCUUGGUAUUCCAUGGGGCAUGCCUGUUCGAGCGUCAUUUGUACCUUCAAGCUCUGCUUGGUGUUGGGUGUUUGUCUCGCCUCUGCGUGUAGACUCGCCUCAAAACAAUUGGCAGCCGGCGUAUUGAUUUCGGAGCGCAGUACAUCUCGCGCUUUGCACUCAGAACGACGACGUCCAAAAGUACAUUUUUACACU